AAAAAACAUUAAUGUACUUAGGGAUGACAGUCACAUAGGUUUCUAAGAGUAUACCAGAUUUCUCUCUGAAAUGAGGCUUGGGUUGUCCUCUUUCUGAUAAAUUCCCAGAUUUAACAGAAAGGCUGCCUUCUGCCAUGAGGACACAUUGAUAUAAAAGUUUGAGAGGUACUGGUGCACUUCUUCACACUAACAGACGUGUGAGGAUAUAUGACUCUAAACCACACGACAUACAGUUCCUGCCACUUAAUGUUUACUUUUCUACCUCUGCCUCUGGUUUUGGUCCCUGGAAGCUGCUGAUUCUUGGCAAAACCCCAGAGCUUGGAGUCAGAAGACUGAGUUUCAAAGUUCCAGUACCGCAUUUUUCUUGUUUUUCCUAGCCAUGAUAUCAAUCCCCCUCAGUCACUAAAUGAUUGUGACAACACCUUGUAAGUUGUUGUGUCAUUAAAUCAGAUGGUGUAUAAGAGUAUUUUAUAAAAACUGUAAAGGAGGAUGUGGCUGUAGGGGCUGAUAGCUCUCAUGAGUGUUACUGCUCUUGUUUCCCACAGUUAAAAGAAUAUUGGCAGAGAAAGAGCCUUGGUGUUCCAGCAGGAGCUAAGAGGAACAGGAAAACAAAUGGCAGUAGCCCUGAAACAGCCACUUCUGGUGGUUGCCAGUCACCUGAGGAUGUGAGUCCUGGCUGGACAGGCUCCUGGGGACAGGGGGCCCAAGGCGCAGUAGAGGGUAAUUGUUAAGAUUGUGGAUGGACUGUUGGGUACUGGUUAAGAAUUCUGGGUUUUUUAAGUUUAUUUGUAAAAAGUUAAAAGACAGUGGGUCUCUGUGGCUUUCACUGAUGUUCACUCUGGCAUCCUUAGCAUUUUUCUUUUUUAAUUUCAUAAUUGUAGGUCAUUAGCAUUCAUAUCGAGUUUGCCCUUAUGUGGUAGGAGUUCAAACACACAAAGACCCACUAUUUGCCCAAAACUAUUCUUGUUGGUUUGGAAUAGGCUACCAUGCUUUUUAAAUGUUAUUGCAGCAUGUAUAUUCAUUACAGAAUUCAGAUAAAAUUUGCUUAUGUUCUGCUAUUUUUUGAUCUAAUCUUAAUCACAGUGAGCUCUUCAUUAGCUCAAUAUGUGGUUUGCCCCCAAGUGUGCACUGUUUAUUACUUUGUAAUAUGCCACUAUGAGUACUGACAUUUAGAGUUGUUUAAAGGCUGAGAAAUGGAAACCGCCUGUUCCCCAUUUUCUGUGUACUGUGACGGGAGUAAUAAUAUAUUGGAGGAGCUUUUUAAAUCUCACAGAAGAGGAAAGUGGCCUGCUCUGGCAGGUAUAUGCAGUACACAGUGUUUCAUUUGUUCCAGUGCCAAGAAUUAGCGCUGUACUAUGGUAGUUACCUUAGGAUUUGUAUGUGCUCUGGGCUCAUGAAGAUAUGGCAUCAUGAGCUGCAGCAGUUGUACUCUUUUUCAAUGACCUAAAAAGGGAUUAUUUCUGAGGAAUGAAAGGCUCCCGUCAUUGACUGUGGAUGUGGAAAACCUUUCCUAGCUUAGAGCAUUUGUAUCUAUAAUACAUUUUAAAGUGAGAGUUCAUGUUACCUGUUUUAAUCACAUGACUUCCUGUCCCAGUACACAAAAGGGCACUGGUUGGCAUUCUUCUUAAUGUAUUUAGUAAAGAUCAGAAGAAAUCCUUUAUGAGUUUAAAUGUCCCUGGAAGAGGCAUACAGGCUCUAGUCAAGAAUGAAUUAGGGUGAAGGAAAGCCAUGUGACACCUGGAAUUCCUCUCUGUUCACGGAGCUUCUUUGAGGCUUGAAGAUUGAUUUUACCAUCUAGACCUCUCUGGCUAAUACCUAUUCUUCAACCACCUUAGUUACUCUGACACAGGAAUUUACUUCUUUUCCUUGAAUGGAAAACACUUUAAAAAAUAAUAACAAGCAUUAUUACAAACUAAUAUAUGUGAGAGUACUUAGUUGAAACAAAAAGGAGUUUUAGUAGACAGUAUUACACUAUCUUUGAAAAUCAAGGAGAAGUUUAUGCAACUUAAAAUGUUUACAAACUGCAGUACAAUCUACUGUUUGUGAAUGUCAAUGUAUUAUCAGGAAACAUGUCUAUACAAUCACAGAGUUAUAUUUCCUCACAAAUUUCUUUACAAAGAGUGAAAUAUGUUUUUGUACCUCUCGGUUUCAGUUAGGGACAUAUUUUUUGAAUAUUUAUGGUUUAAAAUGAACUUAAAGUC
Molecule: small RNA, 2201 nt
Filed under: Pongo abelii (Sumatran orangutan)
Lineage: Eukaryota; Metazoa; Chordata; Mammalia; Primates; Hominidae
Description: retained intron
Source: RNAcentral